This 487-nucleotide ribosomal RNA is filed under the name uncultured bacterium. RNAcentral's name for it is "partial 16S ribosomal RNA". It matches the Rfam family "Bacterial small subunit ribosomal RNA", at positions 28 to 507 of the family's 1533-position model. The record is from RNAcentral.
GACGAACGCUGGCGGCGUGCUUAACACAUGCAAGUCGAACGGAAAGGCCCCCAUCUUGGUGGGGGUGCUCGAGUGGCGAACGGGUGAGUAACACGUGGGUGAUCUGCCCUGUACUUCGGGAUAAGCUUGGGAAACUGGGUCUAAUACCGGAUAGGACCAUGGUUUAGUGUCUCAUGGUGGAAAGAUUAUUGUUUUGGUGCAGGUUGAGCUCGCGGCCUAUCAGCUUGUUGGUGGGGUAAUGGCCUACCAAGGCGUCGACGGGUAGCCGGCCUGAGAGGGUGGACGGCCACAUUGGGACUGAGAUACGGCCCAGACUCCUACGGGAGGCAGCAGUCGGGAAUAUUGCACGAUGGGCGCAAGCCUGAUGCAGCGACGCCGCGUGGGGGAUGACGGCCUUCGGGUUGUAAACUCCUUUCGUUAGGGACGAAGCCACGCUUUUGGGGUGUGGUGACGGUACCUUUGUGAAGAAGCACCGGCUAACUACGUG